Molecule: ribosomal RNA, 639 nt
Filed under: uncultured bacterium
Lineage: Bacteria
Description: bacterial SSU rRNA
Rfam family: Bacterial small subunit ribosomal RNA
Source: RNAcentral
UCGCGUUUUCGGAGCGGCCGAUAUCGGAUUAGCUAGUAGGUGAGGUAAAGGCUCACCUAGGCGACGAUCCGUAGCUGGUCUGAGAGGACGACCAGCCACACUGGAACUGAGACACGGUCCAGACUCCUACGGGAGGCAGCAGUGGGGAAUUUUGGACAAUGGGCGAAAGCCUGAUCCAGCCAUGCCGCGUGAGUGAAGAAGGCCUUCGGGUUGUAAAGCUCUUUCAGCCGGAAAGAAAACGCAUGGGUUAAUAACCUGUGUGGAUGACGGUACCGGAAGAAGAAGCACCGGCUAACUACGUGCCAGCAGCCGCGGUAAUACGUAGGGUGCGAGCGUUAAUCGGAAUUACUGGGCGUAAAGCGUGCGCAGGCGGUUUUGUAAGACAGAUGUGAAAUCCCCGGGCUUAACCUGGGAACUGCAUUUGUGACUGCAAGGCUAGAGUACGGCAGAGGGGGGUAGAAUUCCACGUGUAGCAGUGAAAUGCGUAGAUAUGUGGAGGAAUACCGAUGGCGAAGGCAGGCCCCUGGGUCGAUACUGACGCUCAUGCACGAAAGCGUGGGGAGCAAACAGGACUAGAUACCCUGGUAGUCCACGCCCUAAACGAUGUCAACUAGGUGUUGGGGGAGGAGACUUCCUUAG